GGAAGGAUGACCGAGUGGUUUAAGGUGACGGUCUUGAAAACCGUUGUAGGGAAACCUACCGUGGGUUCGAAUCCCACUCCUUCCG
RNAcentral lists this transfer RNA (85 nucleotides) under Synechococcaceae cyanobacterium SM2_3_1. RNAcentral describes it as "tRNA-Ser". It matches the Rfam family "tRNA". Rfam says of the family: Transfer RNA (tRNA) molecules are approximately 80 nucleotides in length. Their secondary structure includes four short double-helical elements and three loops (D, anti-codon, and T loops). The record is from RNAcentral. Lineage: Bacteria; Bacillati; Cyanobacteriota; Cyanophyceae; Synechococcales; Synechococcaceae.